RNAcentral lists this small RNA (890 nucleotides) under Pan troglodytes (chimpanzee). Its description in RNAcentral is "processed transcript". The record is from RNAcentral. Lineage: Eukaryota; Metazoa; Chordata; Mammalia; Primates; Hominidae.
GCUGACCAUCACAGGCACACAGAGGCACAUCCACCUCACAUCCACCUCAUACUUGUGUACUCUCAGGGUUCAAUCUUUCAUCCUAUCCCUCUCUGAUCUGUGCCUCCCAAUACCUUCCAAGAUGUUUACAGAGACCCUUCUCCCUGUGCAGUUAGGAGUGUAAGGCAAGACAGCCCCUACUUCAUGGGGCAGAUCAAGAGCUGAGACCAAAGAUGGUCUAUGUUGCUGACCUUGUCCUGUCCUCCUGCUGUCUUAAACUAUGAUCCCUGCUGCGGUCACUGAAGCCUUUCCCUCCAAUCCAUCCUCCAUUAAGGCUGUCAGCACUUUGGGGUGCCUGCCAUCAGGAGUCCCCCAUAUAUGUAGGGGUGCUAUUUCACAGAGAUCAUCCUUUGGCAUGCCUAAACAGAACCAGGUGAGCAGUGGUGUGUGAGAGCCAGGCGUCCCUCUGCCUGCCCACUCAGUGGCAACUCCCGGGAGCUGUUUUGUCCUUUGUGGAGCCUCAGCAGUUCCCUCUUUCAGAACUCGCUGCCAAGAGCCCUGAACAGGAGCCACCAUGCAGUGCUUCAGCUUCAUUAAGACCAUGAUGAUCCUCUUCAAUUUGCUCAUCUUUCUGUGUGGUGCGGCCCUGUUGGCAGUGGGCAUCUGGGUGUCAAUCGAUGGGGCAUCCUUUCUGAAGAUCUUCGGGCCACUGUCGUCCAGUGCCAUGCAGUUUGUCAACGUGGGCUACUUCCUCAUCGCAGCCGGCGUUGUGGUCUUUGCUCUUGGUUUCCUGGGCUGCUAUGGUGCUAAGACUGAGAGCAAGUGUGCCCUCAUGACGUUCUUCUUCAUCCUCCUCCUCAUCUUCAUUGCUGAGGUUGCAGCUGCUGUGGUCGCCUUGGUGUACACCACAA